This 244-nucleotide unclassified non-coding RNA is filed under the name Helotiales sp. Its description in RNAcentral is "partial contains small subunit ribosomal RNA, internal transcribed spacer 1, and 5.8S ribosomal RNA". The stretch from base 1 to 46 matches the Rfam family "Eukaryotic small subunit ribosomal RNA", at positions 1786 to 1831 of the family's 1831-position model. The record is from RNAcentral. Lineage: Eukaryota; Fungi; Ascomycota; Leotiomycetes; Helotiales.
AAGUCGUAACAAGGUCUCCGUAGGUGAACCUGCGGAGGGAUCAUUACCGAGUUCAUGCCCUUACGGGUAGAUCUCCCACCCUAUGUUAUUAUUACCUUUGUUGCUUUGGCGGGCCGCUAGAUUUCGGUCAGGCUACCGGCUCCGGCUGGUAAGCGCCCGCCAGAGGACCCCAAACCCUGAUUAUGAGUGUCGUCUGAGUACUAUAUAAUAGUUAAAACUUUCAACAACGGAUCUCUUGGUUCUG